GACGGUUUACACCCACCCGUGUCUAUAUACUCNUNUUGCUUUGGCGGGCCGUGGCCUCCACUGCGGGCUCUGCUCGUGUGUGCCCGCCAGAGAACCAAACUCUGAAUGUUAGUGAUGUCUGAGUACUAUAUAAUAGUUAAAACUUUCAACAACGGAUCUCUUGGUUCUGGCAUCGAUGAAGAACGCAGCGAAAUGCGAUAAGUAAUGUGAAUUGCAGAAUUCAGUGAAUCAUCNAAUCUUUGAACGCACAUUGCGCCCUGUGGUAUUCCGCAGGGCAUGCCUGUUCGAGCGUCAUUUAACCACUCAAGCCUAGCUUGGUAUUGGGGCACGUGGUUCCGCGGCCCUCAAAAUCAGUGGCGGCGCCGGUGGGCUCUAAGCGUAGUACAUACUCCCGCUAUAGAGUUCCCCCGGUCGCUCGCUAGAACCCCCUCAUUUUUACAGGUUGACCUCGGAUCANGUAGGGAUACCCGCUGAACUUAAGCAUAUCANUA
RNAcentral lists this ribosomal RNA (491 nucleotides) under uncultured Phialocephala. RNAcentral describes it as "eukaryotic LSU rRNA". The stretch from base 141 to 294 matches the Rfam family "5.8S ribosomal RNA". The record is from RNAcentral. Lineage: Eukaryota; Fungi; Ascomycota; Leotiomycetes; Helotiales.